CUAUACAUGCAAGUCGAGCGAACAGACGAGGAGCUUGCUCCUUUGACGUUAGCGGCGGACGGGUGAGUAACACGUAGGUAACCUACCUAUAAGACUGGGAUAACUUCGGGAAACCGGAGCUAAUACCGGAUAAUAUUUCGAACCGCAUGGUUCGAUAGUGAAAGAUGGCUUUGCUAUCACUUAUAGAUGGACCUGCGCCGUAUUAGCUAGUUGGUAAGGUAACGGCUUACCAAGGCAACGAUACGUAGCCGACCUGAGAGGGUGAUCGGCCACACUGGAACUGAGACACGGUCCAGACUCCUACGGGAGGCAGCAGUAGGGAAUCUUCCGCAAUGGGCGAAAGCCUGACGGAGCAACGCCGCGUGAGUGAUGAAGGUCUUCGGAUCGUAAAACUCUGUUAUUAGGGAAGAACAAACGUGUAAGUAACUGUGCACGUCUUGACGGUACCUAAUCAGAAAGCCACGGCUAACUACGUGCCAGCAGCCGCGGUAAUACGUAGGUGGCAAGCGUUAUCCGGAAUUAUUGGGCGUAAAGCGCGCGUAGGCGGUUUUUUAAGUCUGAUGUGAAAGCCCACGGCUCAACCGUGGAGGGUCAUUGGAAACUGGAAAACUUGAGUGCAGAAGAGGAAAGUGGAAUUCCAUGUGUAGCGGUGAAAUGCGCAGAGAUAUGGAGGAACACCAGUGGCGAAGGCGACUUUCUGGUCUGUAACUGACGCUGAUGUGCGAAAGCGUGGGGAUCAACAGGAU
RNAcentral lists this ribosomal RNA (746 nucleotides) under Staphylococcus hominis. RNAcentral's name for it is "bacterial SSU rRNA". It matches the Rfam family "Bacterial small subunit ribosomal RNA", at positions 49 to 778 of the family's 1533-position model. Lineage: Bacteria; Bacillati; Bacillota; Bacilli; Caryophanales; Staphylococcaceae. The record is from RNAcentral.